GACCCUCAUGUAUUCAAGUGCAUUCGGAACAAUUUACUGAAGGUUGGGAAGUUUCUGCUACCCCAAAGCCAAGAGGUUUUUCACUGCCACUAUUCUGCCCUACUAGAGUAUGAAGAGGAGCAGGCUGGGCUUCGCGCAGUGCCGAAGCUGACUAAAGCGCACAUUUUCCCUAAUGCAUUUCAAAAAAUGAGUGUGCGGCUUGCUGUCCAGUUGUUUAGUGAAAGCACUGCUGCAGCCAUGAAGUUCUAUAGCAAGCAAGAGGCAUGCAAGAACCUUCAUCACUCAACAGCAUCGUCAGACUUCACACGACGCAUGAACAAGCUGUUUGAUAGCCUUAAUUCUCGCAGGCCAGAGCGUGUAAAAUACAAUGAGGCCGAACA
Dermacentor silvarum is the source of this 380-nucleotide long non-coding RNA. RefSeq lists it as uncharacterized. Lineage: Eukaryota; Metazoa; Arthropoda; Arachnida; Ixodida; Ixodidae. The record is from RefSeq and is a predicted model, not a curated record. The transcript is spliced from 3 exons.